UUACUCGACUUCUCCCUGAUGCCGUGGGAACAACUUGCGGUCAACGGCUCGAGAAAGUAUAUGGGACUGAGUACUCGGAUAUUCUCCGAAUACCCUUCAGAACAGAGAAAGGAAUCGUACGUAGAUGGAUCUCAAGAUUUGAAGUCUGGCCUUACUUGGAAACUUACACCGAGGUGAGCCAUAUGAACCAUUGAAUUUCUUGCAUUAGUUUACCCCCAUUUCUUUGAUUUCAUUUACCGAGUAUAAUCUCUCUUUGUUUUAAGGAUGUUGCUCAUGAGAUUUCAAAAGAGUUGCAAGGCAAGCCCGAUUUAAUCAUCGGAAACUACAGUGAUGGUAAUAUCGUUGCCUCCUUGCUGGCACAUAAGUUGGGAGUUACACAGGUUUGUUAGAAACUAAUUUACUGGGAUAUUUUUACGUGUUUAUCUUCAAUAUUGUUUUGGUGUAUCGAUUCUAUUUUUCAUUCUAUUGUAGUGUACGAUUGCUCACGCUUUGGAGAAGACAAAGUAUCCAGAUUCCGACAUCUACUGGAAGAAGCUCGAGGAUAAAUAUCAUUUCUCCUGCCAAUUUACAGCUGAUCUUUUCGCUAUGAACCAUACGGAUUUCAUCAUCACCAGUACCUUCCAAGAAAUUGCUGGAAGGUAGAUGUUCGGAUUUGAUAUUUUUGUGUGAAAUGCUUUUCUCUAUAAACCGUUAACAUCGAUAUUCUUAUGAUUUCAGCAAGGACACUGUUGGUCAAUACGAGAGUCACACUGCUUUCACUCUUCCCGGUCUCUACCGUGUUGUUCACGGAAUUGAUGUGUUUGAUCCUAAAUUCAACAUUGUGUCCCCUGGUGCCGACAUGAGCAUAUACUACCCUUACACCGAGGAGAAGAAGAGGUUGAAGCAUUUCCAUUCCGAGAUUGAAGAACUUCUUUACAGCAAAGUUGAAAAUGAAGAACACUGGUGUGUGCUAAACGACCGCAACAAGCCAAUUCUAUUUACAAUGGCAAGGCUGGAUCGUGUUAAGAAUUUAACUGGACUUGUUGAAUGGUACGGGAAGAAUGCUAAGUUGCGUGAAUUGGUUAACCUUGUAGUUGUCGGUGGAGAUCGGAGAAAAGAGUCCAAGGAUUUGGAAGAGAAGGCUGAGAUGAAGAAGAUGUUCGAGCUCAUUGAGAAGUACAAGCUGAACGGUCAGUUCAGAUGGAUAUCAUCCCAAAUGAACAGAGUUAGGAACGGUGAACUUUACCGUUACAUUUGCGACACAAAGGGUGCCUUUGUGCAACCCGCAUUAUAUGAAGCCUUUGGGUUGACUGUCGUUGAGGCCAUGACUUGUGGUUUGCCAACAUUCGCAACUUGCAAUGGUGGACCUGCCGAGAUUAUCGUUCAUGGUAAAUCCGGCUUCAACAUUGAUCCUUACCACGGCGACCAAGCUGCUGAGAUCCUUGUCGACUUCUUUGAGAAAUGCAAGACAGAUCCAUCUUACUGGACCAAGAUCUCCGAGGGAGGUUUGAAACGUAUCGAAGAGAAGUAAGCACUCAUUUUCUUCAUUUCCUCGAUUCUUUUUGCCCAAGUCAACUCCUGUCAUUGUUCUUACAUACCUGCAUGGUUCUGAUCAGGUACACAUGGAAAAUUUACUCUGAGAGACUAUUAACCUUGACCGGUGUCUACGGGUUCUGGAAGCAUGUGUCCAACCUCGACCGCCUCGAGAGCCGUCGUUACCUUGAGAUGUUUUAUGCUCU
Molecule: long non-coding RNA, 1718 nt
Filed under: Gossypium barbadense (sea-island cotton)
Lineage: Eukaryota; Viridiplantae; Streptophyta; Magnoliopsida; Malvales; Malvaceae
Description: long non-coding RNA (GBAR_LNC012992)
Source: RNAcentral